UACGUAGGGUGCGAGCGUUAAUCGGAAUUACUGGGCGUAAAGUGUGCGCAGGCGGCCGCGCAAGUCGAGUGUGAAAUCCCCGGGCUUAACUUGGGAAUUGCGCUCGAAACUACGUGGCUGGAGUGUGGCAGAGGAAGGUGGAAUUCCACGUGUAGCGGUGAAAUGCGUAGAGAUGUGGAGGAACACCGAUGGCGAAGGCAGCCUUCUGGGCCAACACUGACGCUCAUGCACGAAAGCGUGGGGAGCAAACAGG
RNAcentral lists this ribosomal RNA (253 nucleotides) under uncultured bacterium. RNAcentral describes it as "partial 16S ribosomal RNA". It matches the Rfam family "Bacterial small subunit ribosomal RNA", at positions 524 to 776 of the family's 1533-position model. The record is from RNAcentral.